UUAAAGUAGUAAGGGCGCAGGGUGGAUGCCUUGGCACUAAGAGCCGAUGAAAGACGUGAUAAGCUGCGAAAAGCUUCGGGGAGGAGCACAUAUCCAAUGAUCCGGAGAUAUCUGAAUGGGGAAACCCGGCAGAGGAAACCUCUGUCAGCGUGCAGUGAAUACAUAGCUGUACGUGGGGAACCCGGGGAACUGAAACAUCUAAGUACCCGGAGGAAGAGAAAGAAAAUUUAUCGAUUUCCAAAGUAGCGGCGAGCGAAAUGGAAAGAGCCCAAACCGUGAUGCGUGCAUCGCGGGGUUCGGACUGCGUUGUGGCAGACGUAAGAUAGGAGAACGGACUGGGAAGUCCGGCCGGAGAGAGUGAAAGCCUCGUAUCCGAAAUCCCAAGUCGCCUAGCAGGAUCCAGAGUAGGACGAGACACGAGAAACCUUGUCUGAACGAGCGGGGACCACCCCGUAAGGCUAAAUACUCCUCAGUGACCGAUAGCGCAAAGUACUGUGAAGGAAAGGUGAAAAGGACCCCGGGAGGGGAGUGAAAGAGAACCUGAAACCCUGUGUCUACAAGCUGUGGGACCUCUUUAUAUGAGGGACUGCGUACUUUUUGUAGAACGGUCCGGCGAGUUGUGCGUACUGGCGAGGUUAAGGACUUAAGGUCUGGAGCCGAAGUGAAAGCAAGCGUUAAUAGCGCGUCAAGUCAGUGAGUGCAGACCCGAAACCGGGUGACCUAUCCAUGUCCAGGUUGAAGCUUCCGUAAGAGGAAGUGGAGGACCGAACCCACAUCCGUUGAAAAGGGUGGGGAUGAGGUGUGGAUAGCGGAGAAAUUCCAAUCGAACCCGGAGAUAGCUGGUUCUCCUCGAAAUAGCUUUAGGGCUAGCCUCAUGAGAGUCUUAUGGAGGUAGAGCACUGAAUUGCCUAGGGGGCGUCAAAGCUUACCAAAGCAUAUCAAACUCCGAAUGCCAUCAAGAUGAUUCAUGGGAGUCAGACCAUACGAGAUAAGUUGGAUGGUCAAAAGGGAAAGAGCCCAGACCUACAGCUAAGGUCCCAAAGUGCGUGUUAAGUGGAAAAGGAUGUGGGGAUUCUAAGACAACUAGGACGUUGGCUUAGAAGCAGCCAUUCAUUGAAAGAGUGCGUAAUAGCUCACUAGUCGAGAGUCCCUGCGCCGAAAAUGUCCGGGGCUGAAACACGACACCGAAGCUUAGGAAUGUGUAAACAUUGGUAGAGGAGCAUUGCUAGCGGGAUGAAGCCAUACCGUAAGGAGUGGUGGACUGCUAGGAAGAGAGAAUGCCGGAAUGAGUAGCGAGAUGAAGGUGAGAAUCCUUCAGGCCGAAUAUCUAAGGUUUCCAGAGUAAAGCUGAUCUGCUCUGGGUAAGUCGGGACCUAAGGCGAGGUCGAAAGACGUAGUCGAUGGAUAACAGGUUGAAAUUCCUGUACCGCAUAUAAACAGAACUGUGGGGACACAGACAGGGAAUGGAAUCCGGGAAUGGAAAUCCCGGUGCAAGCGAGGUAGGAGUGCUGUUGGCAAAUCCGCAGCACGAUCUGAAGACGUGACGCGUACCGAACAUAAGUAGGGAAGUCCAGGCCCCUGGCUGUCAAGAAAAGCCGCUAUCGUUUUAUAUGUGCCCGUACCGCAAACCGACACAGGUGGAUGAGGAGAGAAUCCUAAGGCCGACGGGAGAAGUAUUGUUAAGGAACUCGGCAAAAUGACUCCGUAACUUCGGGAGAAGGAGUGCCAUGAGAGUGGCCGCAGAGAAAUGGCCCAAGCAACUGUUUAGCAAAAACACAGGUCUAUGCAAAACCGCAAGGUGAAGUAUAUGGGCUGACGCCUGCCCGGUGCUGGAAGGUUAAGGGGAGAGGUUAGCGCAAGCGAAGCUUUGAACUUAAGCCCCAGUAAACGGCGGCCGUAACUAUAACGGUCCUAAGGUAGCGAAAUUCCUUGUCGGGUAAGUUCCGACCCGCACGAAAGGCGUAAUGAUUUGGGCACUGUCUCAACAAUGCACCCGGUGAAAUUGAAAUACCAGUGAAGAUGCUGGUUACCUGCGCCAGGACGGAAAGACCCCAUGGAGCUUUACUCCAGCUUGAUACUGGGAUUCGGUAUUGUAUGUACAGGAUAGGUGGGAGGCUGAGAAAUGGUGACGCCAGUCGCCAUGGAGCCGCUGUUGGGAUACCACCCUUGCAGUACUGGAUUUCUAACCAGCAGCCGUGACCCGGCUGGGGGACAAUGUCAGGUGGGGAGUUUGACUGGGGCGGUCGCCUCCGAAAGGGUAUCGGAGGCGCUCAAAGGUUCCCUCAGAAUGGUUGGAAACCAUU
RNAcentral lists this ribosomal RNA (2303 nucleotides) under human gut metagenome. RNAcentral's name for it is "bacterial LSU rRNA". It matches the Rfam family "Bacterial large subunit ribosomal RNA", at positions 1 to 2342 of the family's 2925-position model. The record is from RNAcentral.